Molecule: ribosomal RNA, 1521 nt
Filed under: Neisseria meningitidis
Lineage: Bacteria; Pseudomonadati; Pseudomonadota; Betaproteobacteria; Neisseriales; Neisseriaceae
Description: bacterial SSU rRNA
Rfam family: Bacterial small subunit ribosomal RNA
Source: RNAcentral
AGAGUUUGAUCCUGGCUCAGAUUGAACGCUGGCGGCAUGCUUUACACAUGCAAGUCGGACGGCAGCACAGAGAAGCUUGCUUCUCGGGUGGCGAGUGGCGAACGGGUGAGUAACAUAUCGGAACGUACCGAGUAGUGGGGGAUAACUGAUCGAAAGAUCAGCUAAUACCGCAUACGUCUUGAGAGAGAAAGCAGGGGACCUUUGGGCCUUGCGCUAUUCGAGCGGCCGAUAUCUGAUUAGCUGGUUGGUGGGGUAAAGGCCUACCAAGGCGACGAUCAGUAGCGGGUCUGAGAGGAUGAUCCGCCACACUGGGACUGAGACACGGCCCAGACUCCUACGGGAGGCAGCAGUGGGGAAUUUUGGACAAUGGGCGCAAGCCUGAUCCAGCCAUGCCGCGUGUCUGAAGAAGGCCUUCGGGUUGUAAAGGACUUUUGUCAGGGAAGAAAAGGCUGUUGCUAAUAUCAGCGGCUGAUGACGGUACCUGAAGAAUAAGCACCGGCUAACUACGUGCCAGCAGCCGCGGUAAUACGUAGGGUGCGAGCGUUAAUCGGAAUUACUGGGCGUAAAGCGGGCGCAGACGGUUACUUAAGCAGGAUGUGAAAUCCCCGGGCUCAACCCGGGAACUGCGUUCUGAACUGGGUGACUCGAGUGUGUCAGAGGGAGGUAGAAUUCCACGUGUAGCAGUGAAAUGCGUAGAGAUGUGGAGGAAUACCGAUGGCGAAGGCAGCCUCCUGGGAUAACACUGACGUUCAUGCCCGAAAGCGUGGGUAGCAAACAGGAUUAGAUACCCUGGUAGUCCACGCCCUAAACGAUGUCAAUUAGCUGUUGGGCAACUUGAUUGCUUAGUAGCGUAGCUAACGCGUGAAAUUGACCGCCUGGGGAGUACGGUCGCAAGAUUAAAACUCAAAGGAAUUGACGGGGACCCGCACAAGCGGUGGAUGAUGUGGAUUAAUUCGAUGCAACGCGAAGAACCUUACCUGGUCUUGACAUGUACGGAAUCCUCCAGAGACGGAGGAGUGCCUUCGGGAGCCGUAACACAGGUGCUGCAUGGCUGUCGUCAGCUCGUGUCGUGAGAUGUUGGGUUAAGUCCCGCAACGAGCGCAACCCUUGUCAUUAGUUGCCAUCAUUCAGUUGGGCACUCUAAUGAGACUGCCGGUGACAAGCCGGAGGAAGGUGGGGAUGACGUCAAGUCCUCAUGGCCCUUAUGACCAGGGCUUCACACGUCAUACAAUGGUCGGUACAGAGGGUAGCCAAGCCGCGAGGCGGAGCCAAUCUCACAAAACCGAUCGUAGUCCGGAUUGCACUCUGCAACUCGAGUGCAUGAAGUCGGAAUCGCUAGUAAUCGCAGGUCAGCAUACUGCGGUGAAUACGUUCCCGGGUCUUGUACACACCGCCCGUCACACCAUGGGAGUGGGGGAUACCAGAAGUAGGUAGGGUAACCGCAAGGGGUCCGCUUACCACGGUAUGCUUCAUGACUGGGGUGAAGUCGUAACAAGGUAGCCGUAGGGGAACCUGCGGCUG